AUUGAACGCUGGCGGCAGGCCUAACACAUGCAAGUCGAACGAGUGGCGGACGGGUGAGUAAUGUCUGGGAAACUGCCCGAUGGAGGGGGAUAACUACUGGAAACGGUAGCUAAUACCGCAUACCAUCGGAUGUGCCAAGAUGGGAUUAGCUGGUCGGUGGGGGAACGGCUCACCUAGGCGACGCUCCCUAGCUGGUCUAAGAGGAUGACAAGCCACACUGGAACUCAGACACGGUCCAGACUCCUACGGGAGGAAGUAGUGGGGAAUAUUGCACAAUGGGCGCAAGCCUGAUGCAGCCAUGCCGCGUGUAUGAAGAAGGCCUUCGGGUUGUAAAGUACUUUCAGCGAGGAGUCGUUACUCGCAGAAGAAGCACCGGCUAACUCCGUGCCAGCAGCCGCGGUAAUUC
RNAcentral lists this ribosomal RNA (406 nucleotides) under uncultured bacterium. RNAcentral's name for it is "partial 16S ribosomal RNA". It matches the Rfam family "Bacterial small subunit ribosomal RNA", at positions 30 to 526 of the family's 1533-position model. The record is from RNAcentral.